AUUGUAGCUUUUUAGCUCUCCUUUCCAUUUUAAUUUUUUUUAAUUUUAAUUUUUAUUGUUUUAGAGUUUACAAUGUCAAAUAAGCACAAACCAUUUUAAGGAUGUUUGUUAGAUGACCAAAUCUUUGAGCUGACAUUGUUUAAUGUAAUAAAAGAUACAUAUUUAUGUACACUUCAUAUUUCACAUCCAUAAAUUGAUUUUGUAGGGCUGGUCAUCCAGUUCUAAAUUUGUUGUCUAACACAAUGCAUUAAAAAAAACAAAAAAACAGAUUGAACUUUAAUAUAUGAAUUUAAAAACAAUUUUAACUGUAUGUAGCAUAUACAAGAAAACAUUUAAAGAGGUAUCUGUCUUCUGACAAUUGUAUUAAUGUAUGAGAAAUGCUUUGAAAGCUUGAUUUUUAAGUUUUUACAAAUGCUAUAUUUUACAAUAGCUACAUUGAAAAUCAACACACAUCUCUCAGCUUCUAACCUAAUUGUACAUCUCCUUGAAGCAGGGAGCUUUGGAGACCAGCGUUUAAACCAAAUUUUUUUAUUAAACAGAAUGCACAGACAGUAAACGGGUACAACAACUUGUACUGUCUAGUUUGUGUUUUACUACUGUUUGCUUGACCUGCAUAUAUAUUUUUUUAUACCUAAACAUACACACAUACUUACAUACCUACAUACACACACAUAGACAACUUCCUGAUUUCAGACAUUUGCUUUAAACAUUCACAGAAAAUAUAGUAGAG
This is a non-coding RNA of Pelobates cultripes (western spadefoot toad), 730 nucleotides long. Lineage: Eukaryota; Metazoa; Chordata; Amphibia; Anura; Pelobatidae. The record is from the annotation of a GenBank genome assembly.